RNAcentral lists this transfer RNA (76 nucleotides) under Tissierellia bacterium. RNAcentral describes it as "tRNA-Lys". It matches the Rfam family "tRNA". Rfam says of the family: Transfer RNA (tRNA) molecules are approximately 80 nucleotides in length. Their secondary structure includes four short double-helical elements and three loops (D, anti-codon, and T loops). The record is from RNAcentral. Lineage: Bacteria; Bacillati; Bacillota; Tissierellia.
GCACCUUUAGCUCAGGUGGUAGAGCAACUGACUCUUAAUCAGUGGGUCCAGGGUUCGAUUCCCUGAAGGUGCACCA